This 635-nucleotide ribosomal RNA is filed under the name Pseudoxanthomonas sp. Ri1Pt_3673. RNAcentral's name for it is "bacterial SSU rRNA". It matches the Rfam family "Bacterial small subunit ribosomal RNA", at positions 380 to 1006 of the family's 1533-position model. The record is from RNAcentral. Lineage: Bacteria; Pseudomonadati; Pseudomonadota; Gammaproteobacteria; Lysobacterales; Lysobacteraceae.
AGCCUGAUCCAGCCAUACCGCGUGGGUGAAGAAGGCCUUCGGGUUGUAAAGCCCUUUUGUUGGGAAAGAAAAGCAUUCGGUUAAUACCCGGGUGUUCUGACGGUACCCAAAGAAUAAGCACCGGCUAACUUCGUGCCAGCAGCCGCGGUAAUACGAAGGGUGCAAGCGUUACUCGGAAUUACUGGGCGUAAAGCGUGCGUAGGUGGUUGUUUAAGUCCGUUGUGAAAGCCCUGGGCUCAACCUGGGAAUUGCAGUGGAUACUGGGCAACUAGAGUGUGGUAGAGGAUAGUGGAAUUUCCGGUGUAGCAGUGAAAUGCGUAGAGAUCGGAAGGAACAUCUGUGGCGAAGGCGACUAUCUGGGCCAACACUGACACUGAGGCACGAAAGCGUGGGGAGCAAACAGGAUUAGAUACCCUGGUAGUCCACGCCCUAAACGAUGCGAACUGGAUGUUGGGUUCAACUUGGAACCCAGUAUCGAAGCUAACGCGUUAAGUUCGCCGCCUGGGGAGUACGGUCGCAAGACUGAAACUCAAAGGAAUUGACGGGGGCCCGCACAAGCGGUGGAGUAUGUGGUUUAAUUCGAUGCAACGCGAAGAACCUUACCUGGUCUUGACAUCCACGGAACUUUCUAGAGA